AGAGUUUGAUCCUGGCUCAGAACGAACGCUGCGGCAUGCCUAACACAUGCAAGUCGAACGAAGCCUUCGGGCUUAGUGGCGCACGGGUGCGUAACGCGUGGGAAUCUGCCCUCUGGUUCGGAAUAACUCAGGGAAACUUGAGCUAAUACCGGAUAAUGACUUCGGUCCAAAGAUUUAUCGCCUGAGGAUGAGCCCGCGUCGGAUUAGCUAGUUGGUGAGGUAAAAGCUCACCAAGGCGACGAUCCGUAGCUGGUCUGAGAGGAUGAUCAGCCACACUGGGACUGAGACACGGCCCAGACUCCUACGGGAGGCAGCAGUGGGGAAUAUUGGACAAUGGGCGCAAGCCUGAUCCAGCCAUGCCGCGUGGGUGAUGAAGGCCCUAGGGUUGUAAAGCCCUUUCGGCGGGGAAGAUAAGACGUACCCGCAGAA
This 429-nucleotide ribosomal RNA is filed under the name uncultured bacterium. RNAcentral describes it as "bacterial SSU rRNA". It matches the Rfam family "Bacterial small subunit ribosomal RNA", at positions 8 to 486 of the family's 1533-position model. The record is from RNAcentral.